This 432-nucleotide ribosomal RNA is filed under the name uncultured bacterium. RNAcentral describes it as "partial 16S ribosomal RNA". It matches the Rfam family "Bacterial small subunit ribosomal RNA", at positions 338 to 795 of the family's 1533-position model. The record is from RNAcentral.
CCUACGGGUGGCAGCAGUCGAGAAUUUUUGACAAUGGGGGAAACCCUGAUCGAGCGACGCCGCGUGGAGGAUGAAGGUCUUCGGGUUGUAAACUCCUGUCAUUUGAGAACUAGUAUCAGAAGAGGAAGGGACGGCUAACUCUGUGCCAGCAGCCGCGGUAAUACAGAGGUCCCAAGCGUUGUUCGGAUUCAUUGGGCGUAAAGGGUGUGUAGGUGGCGCUGUAAGUGGGGUGUGAAAUCUCGGGGCUUAACUCCGAAACUGCAUUCCAUACUGCGGUGCUUGAGGACUGGAGAGGAGACUGGAAUUUACGGUGUAGCAGUGAAAUGCGUAGAUAUCGUAAGGAAGACCAGUGGCGAAGGCGGGUCUCUGGACAGUCCUGACACUGAGACACGAAGGCCAGGGGAGCAAACGGGAUUAGAUACCCUGGUAGUC